This 995-nucleotide ribosomal RNA is filed under the name uncultured bacterium. Its description in RNAcentral is "bacterial SSU rRNA". It matches the Rfam family "Bacterial small subunit ribosomal RNA", at positions 356 to 1376 of the family's 1533-position model. The record is from RNAcentral.
GGGGAAUAUUGCACAAUGGGGGAAACCCUGAUGCAGCGACGCCGCGUGGAGGAAGAAGGUCUUCGGAUUGUAAACUCCUGUUGUUGAGGAAGAUAAUGACGGUACUCAACAAGGAAGUGACGGCUAACUACGUGCCAGCAGCCGCGGUAAAACGUAGGUCACAAGCGUUGUCCGGAAUUACUGGGUGUAAAGGGAGCGCAGGCGGGAAGACAAGUUGGAAGUGAAAUCUAUGGGCUCAACCCAUAAACUGCUUUCAAAACUGUUUUUCUUGAGUAGUGCAGAGGUAGGCGGAAUUCCCGGUGUAGCGGUGGAAUGCGUAGAUAUCGGGAGGAACACCAGUGGCGAAGGCGGCCUACUGGGCACCAACUGACGCUGAGGCUCGAAAGUGUGGGUAGCAAACAGGAUUAGAUACCCUGGUAGUCCACACCGUAAACGAUGAUUACUAGGUGUUGGAGGAUUGACCCCUUCAGUGCCGCAGUUAACACAAUAAGUAAUCCACCUGGGGAGUACGACCGCAAGGUUGAAACUCAAAGGAAUUGACGGGGGCCCGCACAAGCAGUGGAGUAUGUGGUUUAAUUCGACGCAACGCGAAGAACCUUACCAAGUCUUGACAUCCCUUGACAGACAUAGAAAUAUGUUUUCUCUUCGGAGCAAGGAGACAGGUGGUGCAUGGUUGUCGUCAGCUCGUGUCGUGAGAUGUUGGGUUAAGUCCCGCAACGAGCGCAACCCUUAUGGUCAGUUACUACGCAAGAGGACUCUGGCCAGACUGCCGUUGACAAAACGGGGGAAGGUGGGGAUGACGUCAAAUCAUCAUGCCCUUUAUGACUUGGGCUACACACGUACUACAAUGGCGUUAAACAAAGAGAAGCAAGACCGCGAGGUGGAGCAAAACUCAGAAACAACGUCCCAGUUCGGACUGCAGGCUGCAACUCGCCUGCACGAAGUCGGAAUUGCUAGUAAUCGUGGAUCAGCAUGCCACGGUGAAUACGUUCCCG